RNAcentral lists this non-coding RNA (24 nucleotides) under Arabidopsis thaliana (thale cress). The record is from RNAcentral. Lineage: Eukaryota; Viridiplantae; Streptophyta; Magnoliopsida; Brassicales; Brassicaceae.
UGUUAUUGCAAUUCAUCUUAAGGU